RNAcentral lists this ribosomal RNA (677 nucleotides) under uncultured bacterium. RNAcentral's name for it is "bacterial SSU rRNA". It matches the Rfam family "Bacterial small subunit ribosomal RNA", at positions 125 to 818 of the family's 1533-position model. The record is from RNAcentral.
CCUGCCUUACACAGGGGGAUAACAACCGGAAACGGUUGCUAAAACCGCAUGAAGUAUGAACAUCGCAUGAUGAUCAUAUUAAAUAUUUAUAGGUGUAAGAUGGGCCCGCGUCUGAUUAGCUAGUUGGUGGGGUAAUAGCCUACCAAGGCGAUGAUCAGUAGCCGGCUUGAGAGAGUGACCGGCCACAUUGGGACUGAGACACGGCCCAAACUCCUACGGGAGGCAGCAGUGGGGAAUCUUGCACAAUGGGCGAAAGCCUGAUGCAGCGACGCCGCGUGAGUGAAGACGUACUUCGGUAUGUAAAGCUCUAUCAGCAGGGACGAUAAUGACGGUACCUGACUAAGAAGCCCCGGCUAACUACGUGCCAGCAGCCGCGGUAAUACGUAGGGGGCAAGCGUUAUCCGGAUUUACUGGGUGUAAAGGGAGCGUAGGUGGUAGUGUAAGUCAGAUGUGAAAGCCCGUUGCUUAACAGCGGGAUUGCAUCAGAAACUACAUUACUAGAGUGCAGGAGAGGUAAGUGGAAUUCCUAGUGUAGCGGUGAAAUGCGUAGAUAUUAGGAGGAACAUCAGUGGCGAAGGCGGCUUACUGGACUGUAACUGACACUAAGGCUCGAAAGCGUGGGGAGCAAACAGGAUUAGAUACCCUGGUUAGUCCACGCCCCGUAACGAUGAAUACUA